UACGUAGGUGGCGAGCGUUGUCCGGAAUUACUGGGUGUAAAGGGCGUGUAGGCGGGAUUAUAAGUCGGAUGUGAAAUUCCGAGGCUCAACUUCGGAGCUGCAUCUGAAACUAUAAUUCUUGAGUACUGGAGAGGAUAGUGGAAUUCCUAGUGUAGCGGUGAAAUGCGUAGAUAUUAGGAGGAACACCAGUGGCGAAGGCGGCUAUCUGGACAGUAACUGACGCUGAGGCGCGAAAGCGUGGGGAGCAAACAGG
RNAcentral lists this ribosomal RNA (253 nucleotides) under uncultured bacterium. RNAcentral describes it as "partial 16S ribosomal RNA". It matches the Rfam family "Bacterial small subunit ribosomal RNA", at positions 524 to 776 of the family's 1533-position model. The record is from RNAcentral.